RNAcentral lists this transfer RNA (78 nucleotides) under Chloroflexota bacterium. RNAcentral's name for it is "Chloroflexi bacterium (groundwater metagenome) tRNA-Pro". It matches the Rfam family "tRNA". From Rfam's summary of the family: Transfer RNA (tRNA) molecules are approximately 80 nucleotides in length. Their secondary structure includes four short double-helical elements and three loops (D, anti-codon, and T loops). Lineage: Bacteria; Bacillati; Chloroflexota. The record is from RNAcentral.
CGGGGUGUAGCUCAGCCAGGUUAGAGCGCACGGUUCGGGACCGUGAGGCCGGCAGUUCAAAUCUGCCCACCCCGACCA